AACGAACGCUGGCGGCGCGCCUAAUACAUGCAAGUCGAACGAGAAGCUGUAGCAAUACAGUUGUACAGUGGCGAACGGGUGAGGAAUACAUGGGUGACCUACCCUCGAGUGGGGAAUAACCAGCCGAAAGGUUGGCUAAUACCGCGUACGCUUCCCAGUCUACGGGUUGGGAAGGAAAGCGAUGCCGUGGGUAUCGCGCUCAAGGUUGGGCUCAUGUCCUAUCAGCUUGNGGUGGGGUAACGGCGUCACCAAGGCAACGACGGGUAGCUGGUCUGAGAGGACGAUCAGCCACACUGGCACUGCGAC
Molecule: ribosomal RNA, 306 nt
Filed under: uncultured bacterium
Lineage: Bacteria
Description: bacterial SSU rRNA
Rfam family: Bacterial small subunit ribosomal RNA
Source: RNAcentral